GUAAGAGAAUAGGUUAACAUGCUUUAAUGUUCAAAAAGCGCAUUAUUUGUCAAAAACUGUACAUACGACACACAACUUCCGUUCUGACUCAAUGCAGUGUAUGGUUACUUCCACCAGCAUAGUGGAACUAUAGAGUUUACUGCCAGAAAUAUGUCUAGAUGAUGUACAGUGACUUGCAAUUGAAGGUUAGCGGUCAUGGCCGCCAUUUUAGUUUCACUACACACAGCAGUGAUGCAGCAGCAGAUUCAUAUUCUCUUAUUUCAUGCCAAAGAGGCCAUCGUCUAGAAACCUACUCCCCUUUCUCCCAGCUGAUACUAGUGAAACGACUCAACCCCAGGAAGGUUGGAGAAGCCGCCUUUGAACCUCCCACAACUGUGAUAGCCCUCGCUCGCACAGCCGUACUCAUUGACUCUCAACCCCGGUGGAUUCACACCAGUAGACUGAAACAGUGCCUGACCAGAACCAGCUCAUCUGAGAAUGGAUGAAAAUUCACAAUCAAGCAGCCCUUAGGGGGCCUCCUCUUGUCUCACCUAAGCACAUACACAUAUAGAUUUUCUUGUAUUAGCCUUGAGAACACACACAAGUAACAAGCAACAACUCAUGCCCUGUCUGAUGGGAGCAUGUGAGGGGUGGGAGCUGUUGAAGCUCAUGGAUCCCUCAUGGGCGUUCCUUGCUGUUUAUGGGAAGAGUGUAUGUAGGUCCAGUUGGGACCUAAGAAGGCAUUGAUAAGUUUACUGUGAACACUCUUCCCUCUCAAUCCCUUGUUAACAUUUUGUAAAGAUUAAAGAAUUAAAUGUAAAGAAUAAUAUUGGCUGUGUUUGCUAGCAAGCAAGCUAAAUCUACACUAGCAGCUGAGAGUAAAGAAUGAAAUUUGCCAUGUUCGCUAGCAAGUGAGCAAAUUGCUACAUGUAAAGAAUGAAAUUAGCCAUGUUUGGAAGCAAGUGAGAUAACGCUAAAUGUUUUGUGUGAACAAUAAAAUUAGCCAUGUUCACUAGCAAGCUUGCGAACACUAUGCUAGCUGCUGCAUGUAAACAAUGAAAUUAGCAAUGUUUGUGAGCUAAAGCUAUGCUAACCACUGCAUGUAAAGAAUAAAAUUAGCUAUGUUCUAUCUAUCUAUCUAUCUAUCUAUCUAAUCAACUCUACAAUGAUUGGC
This is a long non-coding RNA of Ictalurus punctatus (channel catfish), 1153 nucleotides long. Lineage: Eukaryota; Metazoa; Chordata; Actinopteri; Siluriformes; Ictaluridae. The record is from Ensembl.